RNAcentral lists this unclassified non-coding RNA (451 nucleotides) under Hevea brasiliensis (rubber tree). The record is from RNAcentral. Lineage: Eukaryota; Viridiplantae; Streptophyta; Magnoliopsida; Malpighiales; Euphorbiaceae.
UAAUUCCCUUACUGAGUAACAACUAACAGGAACUCACACCAAUAAAAGAUAGAUUGCUAGUGGAAAAUACCCAAGAACACACACAAAAUAGAAAAUAGAGAGAAAAAAAUGAACACAAUAAUUUUUAGGUGGUUCAGCAGUGAGUAUGACCAUGUUCAUGUAACUUUUUACACUAUUGAGAAUGAGAACAUUAUAGUCCUGUGUAUAUUGAUUUAAUCCUUGUGCACCCUGAAUUCCUAAUACAAAUAGGAUUUGUAUAACCACCCCAAUAAUGAAAAAGGCCCCUAGGAACAUCAACAUGAGAGGCAUUCUACCUCUUGUUGUGGAGCUAAUCCCUUUGCCGGUGGCUUUACUUAACAGUAAAUUUCCCUCUUACUAAUAUGCGCCAUAACUCAACAAUGUUUCAAUGUAAAAUCAUAUAUAACUCAACCAAAAAUAGAUUCAACCUUUC